This is a long non-coding RNA of Gopherus evgoodei (Goodes thornscrub tortoise), 208 nucleotides long. RefSeq lists it as uncharacterized. The record is from RefSeq and is a predicted model, not a curated record. The transcript has 3 exons. Lineage: Eukaryota; Metazoa; Chordata; Testudines; Testudinidae.
GCCAGUUGGACCACUCUCAGUUCGCGGACAUUGAUGUGAAGCUCCAGCUCCUGAAAGGACCAAAGGCCCUGGGUGCGAAGGUGCCCUAAGUGAGCACCCCAGCCGAGAGAGGAAGCGUCUGUUGUCAGAGACACCGAGGGCUGUGCCGGAUGGAACGGACGACCGGCACACACCAGGGAGGGCGCCGAGCACUUGUGACGAGAUCGUG